Lepisosteus oculatus (spotted gar) is the source of this 1876-nucleotide non-coding RNA. Lineage: Eukaryota; Metazoa; Chordata; Actinopteri; Semionotiformes; Lepisosteidae. The record is from RefSeq and is a predicted model, not a curated record.
UUUCUAACAGGCAUGUAUACAGCAAAGGAACUGCUGUAAUUGAAUAAGUCCUUACUGACAGCAGCAUUACUAUAUCAUCUAGUGUAGUGAUAGUCACUCCUGCACAGAGAAGGGCCCAGUCCAGCACGUUUAUACACAAUAAACAAUCCUCAGUGAGGAAAGACUGGAACCAAUGGUAAUAAAGACCAAUUAAGAGAACAACUGAUCCAAAUUAAACCAUAAAAAGGCCAGAGUGGAAUGAAGACCAGGAGACAUGGUGGAUUCCAGGACUGGCAGUGAAUAUUGGUGACUUUGAGUGUGAGAGACCUCUAAACCCAACUGCUUCUGCAUGUGGGUUACUGUGACCAGUAGGUGGACAUUAGGAAUCUGGAGUGUUCUGGAGAAUUGGCUCUGCAUUGGAAGACGGACACUCAGAGGCCCGCCUACCAUCAAGUCGCCCUACAUCCAUAGCUUGAAGGCACAGGCCUCCUAACGGCGUCCUGACCCAGCUGAGUCCGGGGCUCAGAGCACCUGGCCUCGUCGCUCCGUUUUUAAUCUCCUUGUACCAUGUCCCUGCUUUUUAAUCGUCUUGUCUCGGAUGGAUCCCCCGGUUUUGGACUUUGGACUGCACCCCGGAUUCCCCCUUUUGGACUGUCUGGACCUUUUUGCCAUCGCCACGCCCCCCCUGAGCACCGGAUCAUUGUCACACCCCCCUGUCUGUCAACCCAUCCUGAUCCUCUUCGUCUCCUCUCCUCCGGAUUAUACCGUCUGCAUAGGGCCCUGAACUAAGCUUCGCGGGAGGGAGCCUAGACCGGCUCCUGUUACAAUAGGUCCCCUCGUGUACAUAGAUUUGGGAGUCUUUGGAAUGAAAAGUGGACAGGACAGGCCUGGCAAAUUGACACAGUGGGCAGUGGUCAGCAUUGCUGCCUUGCAGUGAUGGGUCCUGGAUUCAAUUCCGGGGGUGUUGUCUGGGUGGAGCCUGCAUGGUCUUUUGGUGUUUGAAUGGGUUUCAUCUGGGACCCUGAAUGAGAUAAAAUGGAUGGAUGGCAUAUGGCACAAACAUAAGGAUAUAAUAUUGUUACCUUUAUAGACCAGAAAUAAUGUAUAGGUUGUGUUAUUACUAUGAUAAUCUUAAAAAUAUAAUUAGCAUUUGUGGAAAGUCAUUAGCAAACUUGUUUUCUUGAAAAAUUGCAUACAAGAGCCCUUCUUAUUGCACUAGUCUCCAAGCCAAACACCUGUGUUAUUAGUAUCUUCAUUUUUUUUUUAAACCCGCACUAGACGGACUCAGGAAAUUACAAAUAAUUUUAACAUACAACUUCACUGCUGUGAUCUGGAGUCUUUUCUUGUGUAUGUAGAAGAAGAUGGGGAAAAAUGAAUGCAAUUAUGGGAUUUGGAACAAAGCCACGUGUAAACACAGCUGUGUGACUUUUCCUUUUAAGAAAUUUUAAAGAGGACAACGUACAUUUUGAAAUUUACCAAGAUGCUAGAGUCAAGGUUAUUGUAGCCAUUAGGCUGGAAAAACCGGACAUGCUGAAUCAGAACGGAUUUUAGCUGAUCUAGGGCUGACAGACCGUAAUCAACGAGUACAUUUAACUUUUUGUAGAAUAAUCGUUCGUUUUGAUUAGGAUCAUAAUAUUAUCUUAUUUUAAAAAACAAAUUUAAAUUAACAUCUACAUCAUUUUAAGAUGUAAUUAUUUGAAAGUUAUUUUAUCUGUUGAAUAGUAAUCUAUAGCCCUGAUUCAUAGUGGCCCAAAUACAACCUGAACAACUUUUCUCAGUCUGAUGAGUGGAAGAACCCAUCCGAUACUGUUAAGUAACACACGAAAUUUUUUUAAAAAAAGUACACUUGAUAUGAAAGUAUUUUAGUGACGCUAACGUUGUGUGCUAGUUUUUAUGU